Molecule: long non-coding RNA, 664 nt
Organism: Mustela lutreola (European mink)
Lineage: Eukaryota; Metazoa; Chordata; Mammalia; Carnivora; Mustelidae
Exons: 3
Source: RefSeq, a predicted model, not a curated record
CUUGCAAGGGCGAACAGAGCUUUAAGAAUGGAGCUUCUGCUACCCUCACUUCUCCCAAACUCCGGGAUGAAGACAAAAAAAUUCUAGUUUCAGAUAUGUUAUCAAGUUUUGCUUCUCCGAGAGAAAGAUCACAAGUCGGGACAGAGGCAGGCAGAGAGAGAGGGGGAAGCAGGCUCCCCGCUGAGCAAAGAGCCCGAUGUGGGGCUCGAUCCCAGGACCCUGAGACUAUGACCCGAGCCGAAGGCAGAAGCCCAACCCACUGAGCCACCCAAUGCCCCCACAUUGUGCUUUUAAGAAAUGUUUUAAACAGGGUUCCGCAAUCUACGUGGAAUGGGACAUUUUCAGAGGACAAAUCUUGGUGUGGACAUGAGAGCUUACACUAAGCUUCGAAUGGAUAGGAGGCAAAAGGGAUUGUAGGCCCAACCAGAAGCAAGCCGGCUGAAUUUUACCUGCUGUGGAUGAACUAAGGAUGACAACAAUGAGGCAUGGGUUCUUCAGCUGGAAGUGACCUGAGAUGUGACCAGAUUUCUGGAGCGGGAGCCACGAAUUCUUCCUCAACACACACACUUCUCCCUUUGCAACUUUGACCUCGGGGGGAACCCAUUGGUCAAUACAACGGGGAAAGACAUGACAAACGUCUCAUUCUUAAACUAUUUUCGUAACA